CCUAUCCUUUGUUCCAAGAUUUUUUCCAUUUCUUCAUAUUGUUCAGACCGUCUCACUGCACUCAAUAGACUUCAUGUAAAAUUUUUGGACCAUUAAUGCAGGCUCCAUUUUCUUGUCCCAGCCAAAACCUCUAAUCAUGGCUGAGUACGCUUGAACUGGCAAUUCACAUCCUUAAGAUUCUUAAGAACACUCUUCUAUAUCAUCCACAGUUUUCGUGAAAUGUAAGCUCCAAGCGAGCGCAAGAACACCAAUCUUUCUAUCCUGUUCUUCCACAACUUCUCCCUCACUUUCACUUCCCUAUUUUUUUUACUCAUCACUACUAUCAUCAUUUCUUUCUAAAUCAUUAUCACUUUUAUCUCUCUCAUGUUUCAAGGAUGACCGAUCAUCUAAACUUGGGAUUACUCUAUGAAACCCAUCCCCAAUUUCUUGUUGCCCCAAUGUCGAAGCUAAAGCCAGUGAUGAACCAAAAGAGCCUUCCUUUGGCUCACAAAAACAAACAUAUUUAAUCUUUGAAUACUCGGAGAAAAACCCACUUUUCACACCAAAUUCCAAGCUUCCACAACAAGUCCCACUUAAAUCAUACCUCGAAUUGUUUUAAACCGUAAAGAAAACAGAACUUGCACCAUGAAAAAGAGUGUCAAUAAUACCCCAUCUCUUGGUAUCAGGUGGUUAAGGUGCUCGUUCAUCCUCAAUGAGAUCUUGGGUUCGAGUCAUCCCAACUAGCCCUUGCUGAGGAGAUAUAUCUACAUCUCAAAACUCCGCUCGUGGAGAUGCUCUUAGCUUCGGUUCCGACAGAGGUGUGGUGGGGGUCCCUCCAUAUAUACGGGCACAAUAUUCCCUACCAGGUAUGAGGUCAACCUAUCUUUAUACCUAUUUUUUUCACAGAAAAAAGAACCACAUUUCUUGCUUCUUCUAGCACUUAAAAGACAAGAAGAAUCAACCUCAAACUCCAAAUGGCGCACUACACAUAAGCCACCACUCAACGGCAAAACACUUAAAGCUUGCAUUUUGAGAGAUACUUCAGCAAUGAACAAAAAAACCUAGAAUAGAAAAUAAUAAUUAAAGAACAAGAAAACAUGAUAUCCACUUAUUCUCAGGGAUGCUUCCAACAAUGGUUUCGGAUGGUACAAAAAAUAUAUAUAAUUAAUUUGUUGCGGUUUGAGCCGUUAUAAAAAAUGUCUCAGUAAAACAUUGUUGUCAUGUGAAGAGAUUCAUUAAUCAUUAGAACAAUAUUAUUCUAUUUUAAGUCUCUAGAAAUUUUUAUGCUUUGGUCAAUCAAUUUUNNNNNNNNNNNNNNNNNNNNNNNNNNNNNNNNNNNNNNNNNNNNNNNNNNNNNNNNNNNNNNNNNNNNNNNNNNNNNNNNNNNNNNNNNNNNNNNNNNNNUGAUGUUGAUGAUUUGUUUCCAUGUGGGCACAUGAGGUACUGAGAUGCUCGGUUCUUGGUUUUGCAAGACAAAAUUUAUUCUUAUUAAUUUUAAAAAAUUAGAGCUGAAGGAAUUUUCAACCCUUUUUUCCAACUUCAAGGACUUUUUUUCAUGGUCAAUGAGAGCUCAAGGCCAAUUUUACAAUUUGUUCCUUGAACUUUUUUUUUCAAUUUGAUCCCUGUUUAUUUGUUUUAUUUUUUCUUCUUGAUACAGGGAUCUUGCAAUAGCGAGAGAAUUUUUUGAUGCUUCAUUGAUGCUCAAUUUUGCAAAAUAAAACACAAUUAGGCUAAUUUAAGAAUAUUAAGUGUUGAGGGUGUAAACCUCCGACCUGAAUUUUUAGUAUUAAUGAAAAUUCAAAUUUAACCUGAGAAUAGGGUUAAUUAGAAAAUAAAAUAAGAAGAUAUUGAAUACAUUGAAAUAAGUUUGAAAAAUUAAAAUAAAAAAAUAAAAAAAUAAAUAUAAAAAAAUACAGAAACACAAAUAAAAGUUUAAUGGAAAGGAUACACAAGAAAAUAAAAAAAGGUAUUGGGAUAUAAUUUAAUGAAACUUGAAACAGCUCAACUUAAAUUUAUCAUAAAUAAAUGAUGAAAUCUAGAAAACAUUACUCGAGAAACAUAAAAAAAAAAUUGUAAAAGAGGGAUAUAUUGCGAAUUAACAAAAUUAUUAUUUUAUAUAUAUAUAUGCGCAUGUGUGUUGCCGACCUUUAAUGGAAAGAAGGAGGGAAUGAAAGUUCAUUUUCUUAAGCUUAAUCUUGUGAAAACCUAGGGAAAACUAAAGAUUUAAGGGGGAAGUGUGAGAUUUUACUAGAAUAAACAUUUAAUCACAUGAAAUUAGAAAGAUUUAGUGAGGGGAAAGUGAGGUAUUAGAGAUAAAAAGUUAGGGAGGUGAAGGGAAAAGAAGAAAGUUUGAAGAAAUUCUAUCUGGGUAGCUUUUGAAAUGCAUAUUAUUGUGUGAUAAAGUGCUCCAAGCUUAUUUUAACCAAUUAUCAAGAAGUUUAAUUGAUUUUCUGGAUUGUAUUUUUAAUUCUUGAAUUUAGGGUUCUUAUAUGAGAAUUGAAGGUUUUGUGAAAUAGUCAUACGAUGAUGUUGUUCGAGUGGAAUAACAUUGAAAUGACUUAAAAUCAUGAAUAAUUGAACAAAGAAAAUUGAUAAUUUUGUAUGAUUAAAGCCGAUCAAUUUUAAGGGGGAAUUCGGUAAAUGAUUUUAAACUUGUAGAAAUUUUAUAUUUUGAUGAGAAUUGAUGUAAAUAUGGUGAUUUAGGAUGAAAUUAAUGAUUAUAUCUAGUUGUGGUAGGAUUGUUAUAGUAUGGGGUGAGAAUUUUGUAAGAUAAAUAUGUAAGAUUGUGUUUUGAAUUAUAAAGGGUGUGAGUAAUAUUGGUAAGAUGAUUUGUGAUGGAAAUAAUUAAGAAGAAACAAAUUAGGAGAAAUUAAGAUCCUUGGGUUAGUCAAAUGAAGGAAGUUAUUUUAGAUAAUUGAUGUAUAUUUUUGUGAUAUUAUAAUCAAUUAUGAGUAAUGAAAAGAAAAUAUGGGGAGAAUUUAGGCAGUUAGAUGUUUGCGAAAUUAAGUUAAUAAACUUAUAUGAAAAAUAAUAAAAGUUAUGGAUAUUAAAAGUUAUGGAUAUGAAAAAUAAGGAUGUCUAGUUCAGGAUGUGACAUAUAUUAUGAAGAAAAAUUUUGUAAGGGAACUUCAUUAUGGUUCCUAAGUUUAUAUGAAUGGAUAAUAAUAAACUUGUUUUAUUUUGACAAAAGACACCUCGUGUAGCAGGUAAGCCUACACUUUGAUGUAUUUAAUGUUUUUCCCUUAAAUUUUAUUAAUUGUAAUUUUUUUGGAAACAUAAAUCAUGAACAAUAAAUGGAGAAAUAAUAAGGUGAAAGAAAAAGAAAGAAUUGUGAACUUGAUUAGUUGUCCAAAGUAAAUUGGGAGCUAAUGAUAUCAAUAUGAUAUACCCAUGCACAAAGAUUUUCUCUCCCUUACAACAAAGUUGAUGAAAAUUAUGAGAAGUUCUUAUAACCACACAGCCAUAAAUGUUACUUUUUGAUGCACAUGUAGCCAUAGAAAAAUAACAUUUACACUGUAAAAUAUUUUUCACUAUUUUUGCUAGUUAAAGUCUUCCAAACAUAUCUAUUUAAAAGAUUUAGGGGGAUGAUGGUAUAAAAUUAUUUAAGUGUUUUUAAAAAAUUGAUUUAUUAUCGUUGAGGCAUGUAAGCUAAACAUCAAUAAUUAUAGUUAUCGUUUGGGCCACAUGGUUGAAACGAUAAAAAAUUAAAGAACAAGAAAACAUGAUAUCCACUUUUCAUGAGACACUUGAAACAAUAAUAUUUGAUAGUAUAAAAAAUAAUUAACUUUUUAAAAAAUAUAUAUAGUUAAUUUGUUUUUGUUUGAGACAUGUGACCCAAACAACAACUAUCCUUUAUCAUUGUUUGAGCCUUGGUCCAAACAACAACACCCAUAUCAUUUAGGCUUGACCUCAAUAGGUUACACCCUAUAGUUUUUCCACUAUUUUUUCAGCACAUUCCAAUGUACUUUUUUAAAUUUUAAGUAAUCAGAAUGCAGCAACACGUUUCACCCACGCACACAAUAUUUGUAUGAUUUAUUGAUAUAUUUUUAACAAACUCUUUGCAAGUACAAACUUUAAUGCAUGCAUCAUAUUUUUUUAGUUAGUGUUUGACAUCACAAACUAGAACAAUUUUCUCUCCUACUAUUACUGAUUAAGCAUUAGAGAAUCCUUUAUUCUACGAGGGAUUUAUUUUCUAAGGAUUACUCAAGCCUAGAUAUAAGCCAAAUAUGAAGCCUAUCUCAUGCAUCUUGGUUCAGUUUUACAAACUGUGAAAAGCCUAAUUUCUAUGCAAUGGUUUAUCCCGACUUCAUCAAUAUUCAUGUUAGUUAAUUAUAAGAAAAAUAAUCAGAAAACUAUAAGUAAUGGGUAUUGGCCAUUCAAUUGUAGUAAGUAGACCGGACAACUAAAAAUGUUAAAGAUAUAAAACGAGCCAAAUAAUUAGAAUAGUAAAGAAGAAAAACUCAUUUUAACAUCUAAUAUAAUAUAUGUUAAUGAUAUUCCAAAAUUCAAGAUACUUAGGAAUAAGUUUUUUGGUAGUUAGAUAAUAGGUUUAAUCAAGUGUUCAUGCAAUUAGAUCCAUUUUUCAUUAGGAAAGGAAAUGUGGUGGCUUGAUGUAAGGAUUGUGAUACCUAUAAGAAAAAGUAUUUCUGGUGGAUUUAGGGACCCUCAGUACUUAAAUCAGUAUCUUUAUAGAAAAAAAAUAAAUUAAAUAUGCAAAAGAGUAUUAAAUUCUAAUAACAAGGUUGUUUGUUCUUGUUUUUUAUAUGAGAAUAAGUGUUUUAUAAGAAAAUGAUGUGUAUAUAUUGAGAAUGAAAAUUAUGAACCCCUUACCUAGGUGGUUCAAAUGACAUUUAUAUUUCAUGAAUCUCGUCUUUUUGCUUGAAUAAAGAGGUUGAAAAGUCAUUCAACCCUGAUAAUAUUAAUAAGAGAUUAAAUAUCUCUUACACAUGUAUUAAUAAGAGAUAAAUAUCCUUACACAAACAUUAAUAAGGAACAAAUAUUCUUGAUACAUGUGUUAAUGAGAUGAAAAUAUGAUCGACCAAAAAAAUGGGGUUGAAUUAAGAUUUAGAAAAAAAAAUAAAAUUUUUAUAUCAAAUGUGAAAAAACAAUUUCAUAUUAUACUUAAGGAAGGGCAAAAAAGUAAAUUACCCUAGAAAAUAGUAUAAAAAAGGGGGAUUUUCUUCUCUUUAAGUCGACAACUACAAACAAAGUAAAAGGGAAGAAAUUCUCAAUUUUUCUCACCAAGAAUUUUAGAGAAACCAAGAGAAAAUCAAAGGAUUUAGGGAAGAAUUGAGGGAAACACAUACACACAUCUCUAAACACUUGAUUAAGAAUGAAAGAGAAAAAAAAUAAUUAAAGAGAGGGGCUCCAUAAUCAUGGCAGCAAGGAAGAAAAAAAAAGGAUUCAGAAAAUUUUUAACUGAUUAAGAUUCAAAGACUUGAAUAACAUCUAGUAAGGGGUUCUGGACCUACUCUAGCAAUUUCAUGUAAUUCAAAUAACAUUUAAUGUAGAAAUCAUGAAUUUUAGUAUAGGGUUUAUAGAAAAAAUUUUGGAAAAAUAAAAAUUAACUAUGAAUUGAUAAAAUUUAAUUAGAUUAAGUUGUGUUGGGUGUUGAAUUUAGUAGAAUUAAUAAAGAAAAAUAUAGGGUCCUUAAGAACCUAAAUGGCCUGUCAAAGAGGAAAGUUAGGCUCAUGAUAUAUAAUUACAUGUAAUUAAGUGAAAUUAUUGUGAACUAAUGUAUAUUUAUGUGGGGAAAUAAUUUUCAGAAGAAUUGAAUUAUAAUUUGAAAUUUUGAUUGAAAUGUUGUAGUGUAGUCAUAGAUUUUGUUAACAUGAAUAUUACAUAAAUUGACUUUAGAUGCUUGAAUAAAGAUUUAAAUGAGCAUGAAGGGUUUUAAAGGAUUGAAAUUAAUGAUAUUACAAUAUAUAUAUAUAUAUAUAUAUAUAUAUAUAUAUAUAUAUAUAUAAUUUGGAAAUGAGAAUUUAUUUGGUUAUGAAUAUAAAAAUAAAAUUUGAUAUGUCUGUUGAUACAGAAGAAGCUUUAGUAUUGGUAUUUACCUAGUAAUGGGUAGAGAAUUUAGAUUGUUGUAAGAGGAAAUAAUAUAAGCACUUAGACGAACCAAGAAUUACCCAGUGUUGGAUAUAGGUUAAAAGAGCUUAAUAUGAAGAUUACAAUUUAGGGAAAAAAAAAUGUGUAUUAGAAAUAAUGAUAGAUGAGAAAUAUUGAUAUAGAAAAUAAAUUGUGUAAGUUAAAAGUAAAUUAUGUUAAUGGCAAUUGAAUAAAUGAAUUGUGUUCAAACAUGUCAUUGCAUUUAUUUUAAUUGCCUUGGUAAAUUAUUGUUACAUACUAAAUUGUUGCUCGUAUAUUAAUUUACAGGUACCUAUCAACCUCGAGCAGCAUAAUAGAUAUUUAGAGAUCUUUGUUAAUUUUGUAAAGGAUUGUAAUAAUUAUCAUUUGUAACUGAAU
RNAcentral lists this long non-coding RNA (6444 nucleotides) under Populus trichocarpa (black cottonwood). RNAcentral's name for it is "long non-coding RNA (PTRI_LNC000337)". The record is from RNAcentral. Lineage: Eukaryota; Viridiplantae; Streptophyta; Magnoliopsida; Malpighiales; Salicaceae.